Molecule: ribosomal RNA, 378 nt
Filed under: Salmonella enterica subsp. enterica serovar Infantis
Lineage: Bacteria; Pseudomonadati; Pseudomonadota; Gammaproteobacteria; Enterobacterales; Enterobacteriaceae
Also listed under: 8 other names
Description: partial 23S ribosomal RNA
Rfam family: Bacterial large subunit ribosomal RNA
Source: RNAcentral
AAUCCAUAGGUUAAUGAGGCGAACCGGGGGAACUGAAACAUCUAAGUACCCCGAGGAAAAGAAAUCAACCGAGAUUCCCCCAGUAGCGGCGAGCGAACGGGGAGGAGCCCAGAGCCUGAAUCAGCAUGUGUGUUAGUGGAAGCGUCUGGAAAGGCGCGCGAUACAGGGUGACAGCCCCGUACACAAAAGCGCAUGUGCUGUGAGCUCGAUGAGUAGGGCGGGACACGUGGUAUCCUGUCUGAAUAUGGGGGGACCAUCCUCCAAGGCUAAAUACUCCUGACUGACCGAUAGUGAACCAGUACCGUGAGGGAAAGGCGAAAAGAACCCCGGCGAGGGGAGUGAAAAAGAACCUGAAACCGUGUACGUACAAGCAGUGGG